RNAcentral lists this ribosomal RNA (351 nucleotides) under uncultured bacterium. RNAcentral's name for it is "bacterial SSU rRNA". It matches the Rfam family "Bacterial small subunit ribosomal RNA", at positions 917 to 1271 of the family's 1533-position model. The record is from RNAcentral.
GGGCCCGCACAAGCGGUGGAGCAUGUGGUUUAAUUCGAUGAUACGCGAGGAACCUUACCAGGGCUUAAAUGUAGAAUGACAGAUUGGGAAACCAGUCCUUCUUCGGACAAUCUACAAGGUGCUGCAUGGUUGUCGUCAGCUCGUGCUGUGAAGUGUCGGGUUAAGUCCCAUAACGAGCGCAACCCCUACCUCUAGUUGCCAGCGAGUAAUGUCGGGGACUCUAGAGGGACUGCCGGUGCAAACCGAGAGGAAGGUGGGGAUGACGUCAAAUCAUCACGGCCCUUACGUCCUGGCUACACACGUGCUACAAUGGCAAGUACAGACGGCCGCUAACCCGCGAGGGGGAGCUAA